CUACUGCUGAGAAGUCCGACAAUAGGACGGAACGAUCGUCCAGUAC
RNAcentral lists this non-coding RNA (46 nucleotides) under Schistosoma mattheei. Lineage: Eukaryota; Metazoa; Platyhelminthes; Trematoda; Strigeidida; Schistosomatidae. The record is from RNAcentral.